GUCGAUGGCCAUACCAUCCAGAUCAUGCCCAACCUCAUCUGAUCUCAGAUGCUAAGCAGGGUCCGGCCUAGUCAGUACUUGAGUGAGACGACUUGUGAUUCUUAAUGGUUAGAAA
RNAcentral lists this ribosomal RNA (115 nucleotides) under Loxodonta africana (African savanna elephant). The record is from RNAcentral. Lineage: Eukaryota; Metazoa; Chordata; Mammalia; Proboscidea; Elephantidae.